AUGCAAGUCGAACGGGAAAUAUUUUAUUGAAACUUCGGUAGAUUUAAUUUAUUUCUAGUGGCGGACGGGUGAGUAACGCGUGGGUAACCUGCCUUAUACUGGGGGAUAACAGCCAGAAAUGGCUGCUAAUACCGCAUAAGCGCACAGGGCCGCAUGGUCCGGUGUGAAAAACUCCGGUGGUAUAAGAUGGACCCGCGUUGGAUUAGCUAGUUGGCAGGGCAGCGGCCUACCAAGGCGACGAUCCAUAGCCGGCCUGAGAGGGUGAACGGCCACAUUGGGACUGAGACACGGCCCAGACUUCUACGGGAGGCAGCAGUGGGGAAUAUUGCACAAUGGGGGAAACCCUGAUGCAGCGACGCCGCGUGAAGGAAGAAGUAUCUCGGUAUGUAAACUUCUAUCAGCAGGGAAGAUAAUGACGGUACCUGACUAAGAAGCCCCGGCUAACUACGUGCCAGCAGCCGCGGUAAUACGUAGGGGGCAAGCGUUAUCCGGAUUUACUGGGUGUAAAGGGAGCGUAGACGGCGCAGCAAGUCUGAUGUGAAAGGCAGGGGCUUAACCCCUGGACUGCAUUGGAAACUGUUGAGCUUGAGUGCCGGAGGGGUAAGCGGAAUUCCUAGUGUAGCGGUGAAAUGCGUAGAUAUUAGGAGGAACACCAGUGGCGAAGGCGGCUUACUGGACGGUAACUGACGUUGA
Molecule: ribosomal RNA, 693 nt
Filed under: uncultured Lachnospiraceae bacterium
Lineage: Bacteria; Bacillati; Bacillota; Clostridia; Lachnospirales; Lachnospiraceae
Description: bacterial SSU rRNA
Rfam family: Bacterial small subunit ribosomal RNA
Source: RNAcentral